Molecule: unclassified non-coding RNA, 1389 nt
Filed under: Hevea brasiliensis (rubber tree)
Lineage: Eukaryota; Viridiplantae; Streptophyta; Magnoliopsida; Malpighiales; Euphorbiaceae
Source: RNAcentral
AGAAAUCUUUUUUUUUUUUUUUUCAAAAAUCAUUUCCAAGAAAAUGGUUUUAAAACUUAAUGCCACAAGAAACCCUUUCCUAUCUUGUCUCUAACUCAUUCAAUCUCAUGAUAAAAUCAUAAAAAUAAGGCCAAAUGUUAUUAUUUUUUAAUAAUCUCAGUCAACUUGUCAAAAUUAUUAACAAUGGCUGUAAAAUUGAUAUUAAAAAAAUUGAAAAUAUAAGCAAAAGUCGGGAUAUUGUGGUCAUUUAACGUUAAAAAUAAAGGAAAACCAGCCUCAAACAUCCAAAAGCUUUUAGGCAAUUCUCGAAUCCUCUCCUGAGGCCAAGGGAACAAAAUCACCAAUUCAGAAGAUGAAGUCCACCUCAAAACGCUUGUGGGUGAAUCAAAGAGAAGUUAUCUCCCAAAUAAAAUGGGACUACUAUCAAUAUCAGCAAUUGAAAGACAUGUCAUUAGGAAGAAGUAAUAAUCAACAGAGAAGAAAGCAUAACGUAAUAAUACCUUAUAGGGCUUUGAAAUUAUAAGAGAAAUAAAGCAUCAAGAAAAAUGAUUGAGAACAGAGAUUAUUUCUCCAGCUCCUCUUAUUUCUAAUGCUCCAAGAUAGAAAUUUUUGCAUUGAAGAAAGAAUUCAAAAUCAAGCACAUGUCUUUUCUCUAGAGCUAACAAACUUAUGAGAAAAAAUAAUAAUAAUUCCAAAUAGACAAAAUUAAAAAAGAAGAAGAAGAAAAAGCAUAUCCGGCUUCUUCGCUGCUCCAGCUCCAGCGCUGGCAGAAUAAAAUCUCGAGAUGGAUUCCGAAACAUCUUCUGCUGCCGCUGGUUCUAAAAGUGACAAUAGCAAAACAGAUCCCAUUUGGAAACAUGUGCGUAUGUUAAAGCCACAAAAUACAAAUGAUAUUGUUUGCAACUCUUUUGACAAAGUUACAAAGGGAGGGAUAUACCAAGCUAAGAAGCGUUUGGUUGGCGGAUUUCGGAAUGUCACCAUGUGUAGGAAGCGUCCAGCUCUUGUAUGUGAAGAAAUGCAAGAGUAUAUGAAGAAAAAGGUUUUAAAAAAGGGCUUUGAUAAAAGUUCUUUUCCAGAUUUUGAAGAUGUUGAAAGGUUUAGUGAUGAUGAAAAUGAAGAUGAAAUUGCUGCAAACACAGGAGGCUCAUUGGAAGGAAGUAGUAAAGUUGCAGAAAUGAGAAAGAGGACAAGGACAAAGGGUCCUAUUGAUUUAUAUUUUGCUCAAAAUGCAGAAAUAGUGAUGCAAGAUAAGAAAAAUACAAAGAUGAAGCAAACCACUGCAAAUGAGGCACGUAAAAAGAAAUUGCGAGAAAAAGCAUGUAGGGCUAUAGCUCAGUGGAUGUAUGAUGCGGGAAUUCCUUUUAGUGCUGUCAAUUAUCCAAGUUUUCA